Molecule: ribosomal RNA, 213 nt
Filed under: Leotiaceae sp.
Lineage: Eukaryota; Fungi; Ascomycota; Leotiomycetes; Leotiales; Leotiaceae
Description: partial large subunit ribosomal RNA
Source: RNAcentral
AAGCGCUUGCAAUCAGACUUGCAUGCAGUUGAUCAUCCGAUGUUCUCACCGGUGCACUCAGUUGUAUACAGGCCAGCAUCGGUUUUGGUGGUUGGAUAAAGGCCCAGGGAAUGUGGCUUCCUUCGGGGAGUGUUAUAGCCUUGGGUGUAAUGCAGCCUACUGGGACCGAGGACCGCGCUUCGGCUAGGAUGCUGGCGUAAUGGUUGCAAGCGA